Long non-coding RNA from Patella vulgata (common limpet), 1024 nucleotides. RefSeq lists it as uncharacterized. The transcript has 5 exons. NCBI's taxonomy places the organism in Eukaryota, Metazoa, Mollusca, Gastropoda, Patellidae. The record is from RefSeq and is a predicted model, not a curated record.
UAUCUCUUGCUUGCUCGGAUUACAUCGUGUUGAAAUACACAAGCAACGUCGCAUAAUUAUUGUGUGUGGGUGCAGAGAUAUGCAUCGAUUUUAACUCUAUAAUUUACAUGACAGCGGGUUUAGCUGUGCGUGGAGAACAGUUCUUAUUAUAUUAUAUACUAUACAUCACUGCAUAUGGUUUGUGACCUAGAGAACAGCUGACAUUAUUAUGUAUAUUAUAUAAAUCGUUUGUGAGCUGAAUAUCUUUUGACCUAUAUCUCCCUAUAGCCUACUCUACACACAGUGUAAACACCAACAGGCCUGUACCAACAUUACUGAAACAAUACUGCUUGAAUAGGAGUCAUUAUGUAAAAAAGCUGUCCCGUGUGUAAGAUGUAUUUGUGAAAAUUAACUGGCUUCAGUAUUAUAUAAUUGGGUGGAAAUAGGCCUUAAACAACAACAUUUGUAGUUGAAAAUGGCUGAUUAUAGAAUUAGAGACGCUGUAAUUAAUGAUUGUGAAGGAAUAUUUAAAAACAUAAAGGAACUAGCAGUCCAUCAUCAUUCUCCAAAUGGUGUAAAAUUAACAGUCGACACCCUUAAAAAAGAUGGUUUUGGUGAAAAUCCUCUAUUUAGAUGUCAGGUUGCUGAAAAUAUUAACUCAGGGGAGAUAAUCGGGCACGCUUUAUUCUUUCCAUUCUACAGUUCCUGGAUAGGAAAGGGUAUGUUUAUGGAAGAUUUAUUCGUUACAGAGCGCGAACGAAGUAAAGGUGUGGGUGUCGCUCUCCUGAAAAGAUUAGUACAGCUUUGUGUAGAAGAGGGUUUUAUUAGACUCCAAUGGGAAGUAAUGGAAUUCAAUAAACGAGGGAUGAAUUUCUACAAUAAACAAGGUGCUCAAGAUACGACUGCAGAUGGUGGAAGGAGGGUUUUUAGAUUUAAUAAAGAACAAAUGGAGGAAUAUCUACAAUAGGCUUGCUGAAUAGAGUUCCGACAAUUCUAGGAUCAAAUGUAUGACUUUUAAUUUUUAAUAUAAUCUCAUACACUUUCA